CCUAAAAAGUCCCUAAACAC
RNAcentral lists this transfer RNA (20 nucleotides) under Hemiphractus scutatus (Spix's horned treefrog). RNAcentral's name for it is "partial tRNA-Phe". Lineage: Eukaryota; Metazoa; Chordata; Amphibia; Anura; Hemiphractidae. The record is from RNAcentral.